Molecule: ribosomal RNA, 421 nt
Filed under: uncultured Anaerostipes sp.
Lineage: Bacteria; Bacillati; Bacillota; Clostridia; Lachnospirales; Lachnospiraceae
Description: bacterial SSU rRNA
Rfam family: Bacterial small subunit ribosomal RNA
Source: RNAcentral
UGGGAAUAUUGCACAAUGGGGGAAACCCUGAUGCAGCGACGCCGCGUGAGUGAAGAAGUAUCUCGGUAUGUAAAGCUCUAUCAGCAGGGAAGAAAAUGACGGUACCUGACUAAGAAGCCCCGGCUAACUACGUGCCAGCAGCCGCGGUAAUACGUAGGGGGCAAGCGUUAUCCGGAAUUACUGGGUGUAAAGGGUGCGUAGGUGGUAUGGCAAGUCAGAAGUGAAAACCCAGGGCUUAACUCUGGGACUGCUUUUGAAACUGUCAGACUAGAGUGCAGGAGAGGUAAGCGGAAUUCCUAGUGUAGCGGUGAAAUGCGUAGAUAUUAGGAGGAACAUCAGUGGCGAAGGCGGCUUACUGGACUGAAACUGACACUGAGGCACGAAAGCGUGGGGAGCAAACAGGAUUAGAUACCCUGGUAGU